RNAcentral lists this long non-coding RNA (615 nucleotides) under Prunus persica (peach). RNAcentral describes it as "long non-coding RNA (PPER_LNC004323)". Lineage: Eukaryota; Viridiplantae; Streptophyta; Magnoliopsida; Rosales; Rosaceae. The record is from RNAcentral.
UUUUGGGAUUUUAUGUAUGCUAUUUUGUACUUUUGUACUCUUUUUUAUACAAAAAACAACACAUUUUGAAACGCUUUCUUAGCCUUUAGAUGUACAACAAUCCAACUCUUGAAAUGUAUUUGUCAAGAUUUCACUAUUUUAUUAAUAGCAUUAACUCUUGCACAUAAAACGAGACAGUCUUCUCUUUUGUACUCAUCCCCACUAUUUUCUUUCUUUUCAAACUCUAUCUCCUCACUCUUUCUCUUCUUCUAAACUUUUGAUUCAAUAAAUAAAGCAAUGAUUAUGAACAAAUCAAAGUAUCAAAUAUUGACCAACGAAGGGUGGUUGAGCUAGUAAAGAUCAUUCUUUUCGCUAUUAAGGCCUAGGUUCAAGUCCUGAUGGUGACAAUUCCUCUUUGUGGGUAAUCUGUAAAAACAAAAAAAAAGGAGAAAAUCUCCUAUAUAAGUCCUUUUUUGGUAUGUCAUGGUCCCAAAAUGGGUAGCCUCCCUUCCCCCCUAAACUUUUGUUCACAAAAAAAAAAAAAAAAAAAAAAAAAGUACCAGAUAUUGAAAGGUGAACAAAAUGAUAAGAAUCUCAGCACUUACUUCUUCCUUCCUCUCUUUAACCUCUUUCCCG